UUAAUUGAAGAGUUUGAUCAUGGCUCAGAUUGAACGCUGGCGGCAGGCCUAACACAUGCAAGUCGAGCGGCAGCACAGAGGAACUUGUUCCUUGGGUGGCGAGCGGCGGACGGGUGAGUAAUGCCUGGGAAAUUGCCCGGUAGAGGGGGAUAACCCUUGGAAACGAUGGCUAAUACCGCAUAAUCUCGCAAGAGCAAAGACGGGGACCUUCGGGCCUUGCGCUACCGGAUAUGCCCAGGUGGGAUUAGCUAG
The sequence is a ribosomal RNA, 252 nucleotides long. It matches the Rfam family "Bacterial small subunit ribosomal RNA", at positions 1 to 248 of the family's 1533-position model.